Long non-coding RNA from Corythoichthys intestinalis (scribbled pipefish), 773 nucleotides. RefSeq lists it as uncharacterized. NCBI's taxonomy places the organism in Eukaryota, Metazoa, Chordata, Actinopteri, Syngnathiformes, Syngnathidae. The transcript is spliced from 2 exons. The record is from RefSeq and is a predicted model, not a curated record.
GAUGAGUACAAUCCUAAUAAAGCAAGUGAAGGUGAUGAAAGCAGCAGCAAUGACUCUACAGUGGACAUUAGCAGCAGUGAGGAAGAUGAUGAUGAUCCGCCUCAUCCACCUCCAACCACCAGUGCUGCACCUGCAAGACCUUCAAGAGCUACAUCAAGGGCAGAUCGAGCCUAAAGCAAUAUAUCCAAAAAAAAGCCAUACAAAUUGGGAUACAAGAUUUUUGUACUGUGCGACAUAAGAGGUCUGGUGCACUCAUUUGACAUAUUCACAGGGAAAAUAGAUCCGGUACCAGGCCAACCAGACAUAGGAGCCAGUGGUAACAUUGUGCUCAAGCUUGCACAAGUCAUUCAUCCUGCUGUUCUUUGAUAACUGGUUCUCAUCUGUAGAUCUGUUUGUUGCUCUUGCAAAAAAGGGCAUACCUGCACUUGGGACCGUGCAGCACAAUCGCCUGCGUGGGUGCUGUUUCAGUGCAGACUCAUAGAUGAAGAAGAAGCGAAGAGGGACAUUUGAAGAGCAAGAGGCUCUUGUGGACAAUGUCUGCAUAAGAGCAGUCAAAUGGUUUGACAAUAGAGGGGUGAUUGUUGCCAGCACAUUUGCCAGUGCCCUGUCUGUUAUGAUAAAAAUCAUCUUUUAUUUAUUUAUCUACAUCAUAUGUCUUCUAGUCUGAUUAAAAAUGUGAUGUACAUCUGUGUUUAAACAAAAACAAUAAUUGUUUUUCAGAAUUUCACAAGCAGUGAAAAAAGAUGUUGCGAUAAAAGUGUGUUCAGACCUGA